Molecule: ribosomal RNA, 253 nt
Filed under: uncultured bacterium
Lineage: Bacteria
Description: partial 16S ribosomal RNA
Rfam family: Bacterial small subunit ribosomal RNA
Source: RNAcentral
UACGUAGGGUGCGAGCGUUAAUCGGAAUUACUGGGCGUAAAGCGUGCGCAGGCGGUUUUGUAAGCCGGAUGUGAAAUCCCCGGGCUUAACCUGGGAAUGGCAUUCGGGACUGCAAGGCUGGAGUGCGGCAGAGGAGACUGGAAUUCCUGGUGUAGCAGUGAAAUGCGUAGAUAUCAGGAGGGACACCGAUGGCGAAGGCAGGUCUCUGGGCUGACACUGACGCUCAUGCACGAAAGCGUGGGGAGCAAACAGG